RNAcentral lists this ribosomal RNA (301 nucleotides) under uncultured bacterium. RNAcentral describes it as "partial 16S ribosomal RNA". It matches the Rfam family "Bacterial small subunit ribosomal RNA", at positions 509 to 807 of the family's 1533-position model. The record is from RNAcentral.
CAGCCGCCGCGGUAAUACGAAGGGGGCUAGCGUUGCUCGGAAUGACUGGGCGUAAAGGGCGCGUAGGCGGAUUGUUUAGUUAGGCGUGAAAUUCCUGGGCUUAACCUGGGGACUGCGCUUAAUACAGGCAGUCUAGAGUGAGGAAGAGGGUUGUGGAAUUCCCAGUGUAGAGGUGAAAUUCGUAGAUAUUGGGAAGAACACCGGUGGCGAAGGCGGCAACCUGGUCCUUGACUGACGCUGAGGCGCGAAAGCGUGGGGAGCAAAUAGGAUUAGAGACCCCAGUAGUCCCUGUCUCUUAUAC